AGACUCCCGCCCUCGGCCCUCCACGCGGCUCCGACCCAACUCUGCCCGAACUCCGAGAGCUGGGCAUGGCCCCGCCAUGCGGAACGUUUUGCUGCCAAGGGCCCCGGCUGGUCUCCCCGCGGGUUACCUGGGUCCCGCCCCGCACCCCAUCCCGCACCCAGUCUUCGGGAGGCCGGGUCGGGCUGCCCUUGGGGAGGUGACAAGUGACGCGAACAGUUGAGAGGCCUGGCCACACACCUGCGUGGAUGUGGACGGAAGCAUGAUUCCCACUGGACCUCGCCUCAGAGAGUUUCAGCUGGACCUUAUGGAAAAGUCACAGCUAGGAGAUGGCUGGGGAGCUGUGAAGGGGUCUGUAUCCAGCUGGCAGUAUUUGCUGAUGAGCUGAACGUGGCUGUGACAGACGAGUCAAGGAUGCCUCCAAAGUUUCCAGUCUGAACACGUCCAAGAAUGGUGAGGCCACUGAUGAGAGGGGAGUCAAGGGAGGAGCAACUUGGGGGAGAAUAUCAGGAGCUCCAAUUUGGACACAUUGGGAAGUCCAUUGGCCUUCCCAGGGAGGCAGCGAGGAGGCAUCUGGGGGGACAGCCUGGAACUUGGGUGCAAGAUCUGAGCGGAAGAUGGAAGUGUGGGAGUCAUCGAGACGGUAUUUAUAGCCACGAGGCUGCCUGAGGUCACUCCGGGAGGCAGGGUGGAUGGCGAGGUCCCAGGCUGGGCUCUGGGGCUCUCUGAAUAAUUUAUUGGAUAAUAAUUACCACCGUUUUAUUCCUUGAAGCAUCUGGCACGGUGCCUGGCUCUCCAUAGAAGUUCGCCGAAUUGAGCAGAACUCUAUGGCACUUCAUUUCCCACAUGUUUUCCCUGCUAGUCAGGGCUCCCAUGCUAUCUUAGCGGGAGAGCUGGAAGUUAGAAUCAUUCAGUUAAAUGGGAAAUGAGAUAUUCUUUAGGAAUUUCUCAGAAUCGGAAGGGAACUUUGCCCUCAAAUUCCCACUCCAACAGUGAAAGUUCUUGUAAAGACAAAAAUUCCAUGUGCUGCAGACCCCAGAAGUCAGAGCCGCAAGCCCCCUCUCAUCUCCACGCCUUAACCCACGCUCGGCUCCCUGAGGUCCAGAUGUUUUAUUUUUCCUGAUCUUGGGAGAACUUUACAACGGGAAGUUUGCUCUGCAGAGAACUUGGCCGCACGCAUGGAGCCCUGCGGUCUGUCCUUCGCUCAGGGCGCCCAGGAUGCCUGCGUGGACAAAUACUGCCCUCGCCGCCUUGCUCCCGGCCCUGAGAGCGGCGGCACUGGAAUAGCAGCAUGAAUCACUUGAACCGUGACGCCCAGGACGCCUUCUGUGGAGCUGCUGCUGGUGUCCAGGGAGCCGGGGAAGGGGACCCUGCCCCCUGCCCACCCAGGGGCUCCGAGUUCGCCAGCAACCUGGAGAAGCCCAGUCGGUGGGAGUGAUGGGAGUGAACAUUUCUCACUGUUCAGACGUGGCUUUACCAUGACACCGAUUCAGCUUAAGCUUUAGGGUCUCCCUUCUGCAGCGCCAUACCUCGUGUUUUAAUUUGCAUUUUUCUUUUCUGAAAGAAGGCUCUCACAUUUUUAUAAGUGUCAGGUCUGACAGGACUUGAGUUUGGGUUAUUUCGUUUAAUCCUCGUAGCAACGUUGGGAAGUCACUGGCACCUCAUCAUCUCUUUACGGACAAGGUCAUAGAGCAUAGGAAAGCCAUCUUUGGGUCCCUUGAAAAUUCCACACUUGUUCAGCCCUGCAUCCUCCGUUACCUUUCCUGGCACCUCGUCCCUGGCUGGCUUCUCCACCCCCCCCCAGGUCUCAGGGGCCUUCACUAUGCACCCACCUUUAAGGGCCCCUUCCUUUCCUGCCUCCCUGGUUAUUCUCUGUCCCUUACCAUUUGCUUUCCUUAUAAGUCUAGAAUUAUCUUCA
Myotis lucifugus (little brown bat) is the source of this 1915-nucleotide long non-coding RNA. RefSeq lists it as uncharacterized. The record is from RefSeq and is a predicted model, not a curated record. The transcript is spliced from 3 exons. NCBI's taxonomy places the organism in Eukaryota, Metazoa, Chordata, Mammalia, Chiroptera, Vespertilionidae.